Molecule: ribosomal RNA, 400 nt
Filed under: uncultured bacterium
Lineage: Bacteria
Description: bacterial SSU rRNA
Rfam family: Bacterial small subunit ribosomal RNA
Source: RNAcentral
UGGGGAAUUUUGGACAAUGGGGGCAACCCUGAUCCAGCCAUUCCGCGUGAGUGAAGAAGGCCUUCGGGUUGUAAAGCUCUUUCGGCAGGAACGAAACGGCGACUACUAAUACUAGUUGCUAAUGACGGUACCUGAAGAAGAAGCACCGGCUAACUACGUGCCAGCAGCCGCGGUAAUACGUAGGGUGCGAGCGUUAAUCGGAAUUACUGGGCGUAAAGCGUGCGCAGGCGGUUUCGUAAGACAGCUGUGAAAUCCCCGGGCUUAACCUGGGAACUGCGGUUGUGACUGCGAGACUAGAGUCAGGCAGAGGGGGGUGGAAUUCCACGUGUAGCAGUGAAAUGCGUAGAGAUGUGGAGGAACACCGAUGGCGAAGGCAGCCCCCUGGGCUAUGACUGACGCU